AGAGUAGCCGUCAGCGCGUAAAGUGCCAUCGAACGGGACGUUGUCGAUGGACGAAAGGAGGGGAAAAACACACUCGCCCUUCUGCGGUGCUGCGGCGCGUCCGCUG
This 106-nucleotide non-coding RNA is filed under the name Candidatus Scatosoma pullicola. RNAcentral's name for it is "THF riboswitch". It matches the Rfam family "THF (Tetrahydrofolate) riboswitch aptamer". From Rfam's summary of the family: THF riboswitch presents a pseudoknot that joins P1-P2 and the loop of P3 and two THF binding. Lineage: Bacteria; Bacillati; Bacillota; Clostridia. The record is from RNAcentral.